This is a long non-coding RNA of Astatotilapia calliptera (eastern happy), 536 nucleotides long. The record is from Ensembl. Lineage: Eukaryota; Metazoa; Chordata; Actinopteri; Cichliformes; Cichlidae.
GCUUCAUAAAACAUGUUUGCUGUAACAUCUCCGUGGAUCUGCGGGACUUUACUGUCUGUCUCCUUCGUGGGCUUUACCUGUGCAGGGCACAAAAGCAUCACAGCUGAGUCUGGGCAGGAUGUCACUCUGACAUGUGGAGCUCCAAACAAGAACAUCAUAGUGGUAGAGUGGAGCAGAACUGACCUGCAGCCAGAUUAUGUCCUCUUGUACCGGGAUGAUCUGUUUGUUCCAGACAACCAGCAUCCAUCUUUUAAGAACCGGGUGGAUCUGCAGGACAGACAGAUGAAGGAUGGAGACGUGUCUCUGAUUCUGAAGGAUGUGACGAUUAAUGACACUGGAACAUACGAGUGUCGUGUGUUCAUGAGAGGAGCAAACCGCAGGAAGAGAGCUCAUCUGAAGACUAAGCCAAUCACCACCAUCAGCUUAAAUGUUUCUCCAGGUCAGACAGGAGGACACACAGAGGAUGGAGGGAAGGAGGAUGGAUCUGUUGGACUGAUUGUUGGUUUGGUAGUUUCUGCUGUGCUUCUUGUUGCUGC